CAGAGCGGGCAGCCCCGAGGCACCGCCGCGUCGCUGCGCCGCCGGCGCCGGCGCUGCAGGCUCUCCUCGCUGAGGCCCAGCACCGCCGACAGGUGGCCGAUGUAGCGGAUGGCCAGGCGCAGCGUCUCGAUCUUGGCAGUGCGCCGGAGGGCCUGGCUUGUGCAAAAAAAGAAAAGCAUACAGAUUGCAAAGGAAGAGACUGAACCGUCUCCACUUGCAACAAGACUGUCUACGUAGGAAAUCUCAAGGAACCGAUACUGCCUGCCUGAUCGCUCAGGAGUUUGAGUUUAUACACCUUGUCAUGAUAGCUACUUCAUGCACAGAUGUCUGUUGUCCACCUAGACUGUGAAGUACCUGGUGUGUAGCAUGUCUUCAAGAGAAGCGGUAUGUAGGGUCUCUUCCAGUGUGAGGGGUCUAACAUUUUGCAUCCCCAAUGCCUUCUAGCCCUGUGACUGCCGGGUGAGCUGGUCUGUAGCAAAGAAGGCCAAGUGGUUUAGCAGCUUCUCCCUGGGCAUCUCUGCCCCCCACCGUCCCCCGCCCUCACCUCUUUUAUCUUCUCCUGCCCUCGGCUUCUUCCAGCACCUUCUACACCCCCUUCCUCUGCAAUCUGUCCCAGCGGCCCCAGAAUGCUUACGCCCAUGGUCACAUCCAGGAGAGGCAGUCCCAACCCCCCCCCCCCUGGGGAGAAGGGGAGCUGCCGUAGGACCCAUUCCCAAGGAGAGUCUGGUCCAGGAGAGCCCUCCCAGCUUGAAGCUGUCAGUAGGGUCUCCUUUUGGACCCUGCUCGAUGGAUGCCCUCCUGGGGCUCCAGAUCCAAGCUAAGAAGCUGGUAUUGCAGCCCAGUGGCUGGGCUCUUUUGAUCCCACCGGACCCAAGGGGACAAACAGUUGGGACUUGGUAGAGUAUGUUGUGCACUCAGGCGAGGGGCGGGGGUGAGGGGGUGGCGUGCAGAAUAAAGACCCGUCAAGCAGGAGGGAUGGGAUCUGAGAGGGCUCAGAGCCUCUGCUGCCAACCUUCUGAAUGUCAAAAAAAAAAAAAAAAAAAAAAAAAAAAUCCCUCCAAUCCC
Felis catus (domestic cat) is the source of this 1065-nucleotide long non-coding RNA. RefSeq lists it as uncharacterized. NCBI's taxonomy places the organism in Eukaryota, Metazoa, Chordata, Mammalia, Carnivora, Felidae. The transcript has 2 exons. The record is from RefSeq and is a predicted model, not a curated record.